RNAcentral lists this unclassified non-coding RNA (1304 nucleotides) under Hevea brasiliensis (rubber tree). Lineage: Eukaryota; Viridiplantae; Streptophyta; Magnoliopsida; Malpighiales; Euphorbiaceae. The record is from RNAcentral.
CUACCCCCUCCUAAAAAUGGUGAUAUUCUAGUUCAUAUUUGAUACCAUCACUUCAAAUUACUCCAGGCGUUCCCUAAACUUGGAUCUCCAAAGUCCACCUAUACAUCUCCUCCUCUGGUACAGGGAGAGUCAGGGUCACUAGUCCAGUAUCAGAGUCAUAGUUGAAGUCAGUUUCAGCAUCAUCCACUAAGCAUUUCAGUGGGCGCUGCGAAGAGUAUGCCCCGAAACGUCCGCAUCCUCUAACUUUUAGUGAAAUGGUUGCAGUUGGAGACCGAUUUUCACUGAGUAAAGUAGUAAUCUCUGAGCAGACCUCACCAUCAAAGUGCUCUGGUUUCUUGUCAGAAGCCACCUUAAUUUCCAACUGAUCCACAGCACCACCUGUGUUGAACAUGUCAAGCAACCCAAAUGGUGCAAAUGAAAUGUUGGAAGUGAUCUCCAUGAUUGGACAGAAAUGGAAGAGUUCAUAGUCAAGAACUUUCAGUGUCACUGGCAUUGAAGCACCUUUAGGUAACCGAACCACCUCCCCUGAUUUAUGGGUAUAUACUAUUGUCUCCCCAUUCCAAUCUGCACCAGCAACUUGAGCAAUACAGUCCACAUCAGUGGCACGAACAGAGCCAGUGAGGGUACCAGGAGAAGCAUCAUGAAUGCGGGUCUUCUUUUCAAUCUUGCACCAACCAGCACCUUGGCAGUUAAAAGCACCAACCACACCAGUGCAUUUGUUCACAUUCCAUAUCUUCAGCAAGCUGGUACCGUCUCUUGCUGGAUCGACAAAGAGAGAAUCACGAGUAGGCCUGCCAGGAAGUUGGGCACGCAGAAUUGAUCCAUCAGGAAGGACCAGCUUCUUCAGUAGCUCAAAGUUGUGGUUGCCAGGCUUAUCACUGACAUAGAUUGGACACCCACCAAUAGCACGAGCUGCUCCAUGAUAAUCUGCAGCAGGAUGUAAACUAUGGAACAUAUCCCAGUCAGGUUGCAUAAAUUCUCCAAGGAAAAUUGUGUUGUAAGCCACAGAGGAAAUAUGAAUGGUGUGCGAAGCAGGGUCCCUAGGAUAGAAGUCAUCAGAAGCUCUCACAACAGCAGUCUGCUUGGCACUGUAGAUCCCAUCGGUGUUAUGGCACAUGCAUGCGAUACAUCCAUUGUCAGGGAAGUUUCGUCCAACCGAAGCCUCAAGAGCUUGGUGAUAGCUGCGGGUGAGGGAAACUCUUCCACCAUGACCAGCACCAAGGGUCUCAAUGAUGUUCUGAACAUCAACUUUUACUCCAUCCACACCACAUGAGGCCAAGUAGGCAUGAAGCUCAUUAUAGAAA